AGGACCACGCGCUUCAUGGUGUGUGGUGGAAAGCUUUUGCGGUGUGGGAUGGGCCCGCGGCCUAUCAGCUUGUUGGUGGGGUAAUGGCCUACCAAGGCGACGACGGGUAGCCGGCCUGAGAGGGUGACCGGCCACAAUGGGACUGAGAUACGGCCCAGACUCCUACGGGAGGCAGCAGUGGGGAAUAUUGCACAAUGGGCGCAAGCCUGAUGCAGCGACGCCGCGUGAGGGAUGACGGCCUUCGGGUUGUAAACCUCUUUCAAUAGGGACGAAGCGCAAGUGACGGUACCUAUAGAAGAAGGACCGGCCAACUACGUGCCAGCAGCCGCGGUAAUACGUAGGGUCCGAGCGUUGUCCGGAAUUACUGGGCGUAAAGAGCUCGUAGGUGGUUUGUCGCGUUGUUCGUGAAAACUCACAGCUUAACUGUGGGCGUGCGGGCGAUACGGGCAGACUAGAGUACUGCAGGGGAGACUGGAAUUCCUGGUGUAGCGGUGGAAUGCGCAGAUAUCAGGAGGAACACCGGUGGCGAAGGCGGGUCUCUGGGCAGUAACUGACGCUGAGGAGCGAAAGCGUGGGGAGCGAACAGGAUUAGAUACCCUGGUAGUCCACGCCGUAAACGGUGGGUACUAGGUGUGGGUUUCCUUCCUUGGGAUCCGUGCCGUAGCUAACGCAUUAAGUACCCCGCCUGGGGAGUACGGCCGCAAGGCUAAAACUCAAAGGAAUUGACGGGGGCCCGCACAA
RNAcentral lists this ribosomal RNA (741 nucleotides) under Mycolicibacterium fortuitum. RNAcentral describes it as "bacterial SSU rRNA". It matches the Rfam family "Bacterial small subunit ribosomal RNA", at positions 173 to 928 of the family's 1533-position model. The record is from RNAcentral. Lineage: Bacteria; Bacillati; Actinomycetota; Actinomycetes; Mycobacteriales; Mycobacteriaceae.